RNAcentral lists this ribosomal RNA (365 nucleotides) under Bacillus sp. R-30629. RNAcentral's name for it is "bacterial SSU rRNA". It matches the Rfam family "Bacterial small subunit ribosomal RNA", at positions 28 to 381 of the family's 1533-position model. Lineage: Bacteria; Bacillati; Bacillota; Bacilli; Caryophanales; Bacillaceae. The record is from RNAcentral.
GACGAACGCUGGCGGCGUGCCUAAUACAUGCAAGUCGAGCGAAUCUGAYGGGAGCUUGCUCCCUGAUGAUUAGCGGCGGACGGGUGAGUAACACGUGGGUAACCUGCCUGUAAGACUGGGAUAACUCCGGGAAACCGGGGCUAAUACCGGAUAACUUUUUUCUUCGCAUGARGGAGAAUUGAAAGAUGGCUYCGGCUAUCACUUACAGAUGGACCCGCGGCGCAUUAGCUAGUUGGUGAGGUAAYGGCUCACCAAGGCGACGAUGCGUAGCCGACUUGAGAGGGUGAUCGGCCACACUGGGACUGAGACACGGCCCAGACUCCUACGGGAGGCAGCAGUAGGGAAUCUUCCGCAAUGGACGAAAG